GAGGGGGCGGUGGGGGGCGGGCGGUGCUCAUUCUCCGCCCCCAGUCGGGGUAG
This 53-nucleotide microRNA precursor is filed under the name Notamacropus eugenii (tammar wallaby). Its description in RNAcentral is "miRNA (ENSMEUG00000018213.1)". The record is from RNAcentral. Lineage: Eukaryota; Metazoa; Chordata; Mammalia; Diprotodontia; Macropodidae.